RNAcentral lists this ribosomal RNA (130 nucleotides) under uncultured fungus. Its description in RNAcentral is "partial contains internal transcribed spacer 1 and 5.8S ribosomal RNA". The record is from RNAcentral. Lineage: Eukaryota; Fungi.
GAUCAGCCCGCGCCCCGUAAAAAGGGACGGCCCGCCCGAGGACCCCUAAACUCUGUUUUUAGUGGAACUUUUGAGUAAAACAAACAAAUAAAUCAAACCUUUCAACAACGGAUCUCUGGGUUCUGGCAUC